GCGCCCUUAGCUCAGCUGGUAGAGCAACUGCCUUUUAAGCAGAUGGUCGCAGGUUCGAUUCCUGCAGGGCGCACCG
RNAcentral lists this transfer RNA (76 nucleotides) under Candidatus Azambacteria bacterium RIFCSPHIGHO2_01_FULL_51_74. Its description in RNAcentral is "tRNA-Lys". It matches the Rfam family "tRNA". Rfam says of the family: Transfer RNA (tRNA) molecules are approximately 80 nucleotides in length. Their secondary structure includes four short double-helical elements and three loops (D, anti-codon, and T loops). Further hydrogen bonds mediate the characteristic L-shaped molecular structure. tRNAs have two regions of fundamental functional importance: the anti-codon, which is responsible for specific mRNA codon recognition, and the 3' end, to which the tRNAs corresponding amino acid is attached (by aminoacyl-tRNA synthetases). tRNAs cope with the degeneracy of the genetic code in two manners: having more than one tRNA (with a specific anti-codon) for a particular amino acid; and 'wobble' base-pairing, i.e. permitting non-standard base-pairing at the 3rd anti-codon position. The record is from RNAcentral. Lineage: Bacteria; Candidatus Azamiibacteriota. RNAcentral also lists the same sequence under 2 other names.